UGGGGAAUUUUGGACAAUGGGGGAAACCCUGAUCCAGCCAUCCCGCGUGUGCGAUGAAGGCCUUCGGGUUGUAAAGCACUUUUGGCAGGAAAGAAACGUCAUGGGUUAAUACCCCGUGAAACUGACGGUACCUGCAGAAUAAGCACCGGCUAACUACGUGCCAGCAGCCGCGUAAUACGUAGGGUGCAAGCGUUAAUCGGAAUUACUGGGCGUAAAGCGUGCGCAGGCGGUUCGGAAAGAAAGAUGUGAAAUCCCAGAGCUCAACUUUGGAACUGCAUUUUUAACUACCGGGCUAGAGUGUGUCAGAGGGAGGUGGAAUUCCGCGUGUAGCAGUGAAAUGCGUAGAUAUGCGGAGGAACACCGAUGGCGAAGGCAGCCUCCUGGGAUAACACUGACGCUCAUGCACGAAAGCGUGGGGAGCAAACAGG
Molecule: ribosomal RNA, 428 nt
Filed under: Acidobacteriota bacterium
Lineage: Bacteria; Pseudomonadati; Acidobacteriota
Description: Acidobacteria bacterium partial 16S ribosomal RNA
Rfam family: Bacterial small subunit ribosomal RNA
Source: RNAcentral